This is a long non-coding RNA of Melanotaenia boesemani (Boeseman's rainbowfish), 218 nucleotides long. RefSeq lists it as uncharacterized. NCBI's taxonomy places the organism in Eukaryota, Metazoa, Chordata, Actinopteri, Atheriniformes, Melanotaeniidae. The transcript is spliced from 3 exons. The record is from RefSeq and is a predicted model, not a curated record.
CCUGCACGUUUCCAGCCAAUAUUUCCUGCCUGCUAACCUGUGUUCCGAACUUCGACCCGUUUUCUGACCUGGAUUCCCUGAUUCUGCCUGCCCCUGUCUGUCUCCAUAGCCCAGCGGAGCUUCAUCGCAACCAUCUCGGUUCCUGUAACCUCCUGGCCGGCUUCUAUUCCCUCUGCGGGCAAAACGGACUUUGUGACCCCACACUCCUGGAUUAUUCG